RNAcentral lists this ribosomal RNA (807 nucleotides) under uncultured bacterium. RNAcentral describes it as "bacterial SSU rRNA". It matches the Rfam family "Bacterial small subunit ribosomal RNA", at positions 8 to 804 of the family's 1533-position model. The record is from RNAcentral.
AGAGUUUGAUCCUGGCUCAGAUUGAACGCUGGCGGCAUGCUUUACACAUGCAAGUCGGACGGCAGCACAGAGAAGCUUGCUUCUUGGGUGGCGAGUGGCGAACGGGUGAGUAACAUAUCGGAACGUACCGAGUAAUGGGGGAUAACUAAUCGAAAGAUUAGCUAAUACCGCAUAUUCUCUGAGGAGGAAAGCAGGGGACCUUCGGGCCUUGCGUUAUUCGAGCGGCCGAUAUCUGAUUAGCUAGUUGGUGGGGUAAAGGCCUACCAAGGCGACGAUCAGUAGCGGGUCUGAGAGGAUGAUCCGCCACACUGGGACUGAGACACGGCCCAGACUCCUACGGGAGGCAGCAGUGGGGAAUUUUGGACAAUGGGCGCAAGCCUGAUCCAGCCAUGCCGCGUGUCUGAAGAAGGCCUUCGGGUUGUAAAGGACUUUUGUCAGGGAAGAAAAGGCUGUUGCUAAUAUCGACAGUUGAUGACGGUACCUGAAGAAUAAGCACCGGCUAACUACGUGCCAGCAGCCGCGGUAAUACGUAGGGUGCGAGCGUUAAUCGGAAUUACUGGGCGUAAAGCGAGCGCAGACGGUUACUUAAGCAGGAUGUGAAAUCCCCGGGCUCAACCUGGGAACUGCGUUCUGAACUGGGUGACUAGAGCGUGUCAGAGGGAGGUAGAAUUCCACGUGUAGCAGUGAAAUGCGUAGAGAUGUGGAGGAAUACCGAUGGCGAAGGCAGCCUCCUGGGAUAACACUGACGUUCAUGCUCGAAAGCGUGGGUAGCAAACAGGAUUAGAUACCCUGGUAGUCCACGCCCUA